AAGUCGUAACAAGGUUUCCGUAGGUGAACCUGCGGAAGGAUCAUUAUUGAAUAUUCCUGAUGAGUUGUAGCUGGCUCUUUGGAGCAUGUGCACGCUUGUCUUGAUCUUAUUCAUCCACCUGUGCACAUUUUGUAGUCUUUUGGGCUGAGUCGAGUAUCGGAUGGAUGUCUAUCCGGAUGUGAGGACUGCUGAGUGCGAAAGCAUACGGCUCUUCUCUGUUUGACCUCACCCUUGAGUACUAUGUAUUCAUAUACCACAUAGUAUGUUGUAGAAUGUGAUCAUUGGGCCUUUGUGCCUAUAAUAAUCGUAUACAACUUUCAGCAACGGAUCUCUUGGCUCUC
Molecule: unclassified non-coding RNA, 341 nt
Filed under: Apioperdon pyriforme
Lineage: Eukaryota; Fungi; Basidiomycota; Agaricomycetes; Agaricales; Lycoperdaceae
Description: Lycoperdon pyriforme partial internal transcribed spacer region
Rfam family: Eukaryotic small subunit ribosomal RNA (bases 1-46)
Source: RNAcentral